GAUGAACGCUGGCGGCGUGCCUAAUACAUGCAAGUCGAGCGAACGGACGAGAAGCUUGCUUCUCUGAUGUUAGCGGCGGACGGGUGAGUAACACGUGGAUAACCUACCUAUAAGACUGGGAUAACUUCGGGAAACCGGAGCUAAUACCGGAUGAUAUUUUGAACCGCAUGGUUCAAAAGUGAAAGACGGUCUUGCUGUCACUUAUAGAUGGAUCCGCGCUGCAUUAGCUAGUUGGUAAGGUAACGGCUUACCAAGGCAACGAUGCAUAGCCGACCUGAGAGGGUGAUCGGCCACACUGGAACUGAGACACGGUCCAGACUCCUACGGGAGGCAGCAGUAGGGAAUCUUCCGCAAUGGGCGAAAGCCUGACGGAGCAACGCCGCGUGAGUGAUGAAGGUCUUCGGAUCGUAAAACUCUGUUAUUAGGGAAGAACAUAUGUGUUAGUAACUGUGCACAUCUUGACGGUACCUAAUCAGAAAGCCACGGCUAACUACGUG
This 497-nucleotide ribosomal RNA is filed under the name uncultured bacterium. RNAcentral describes it as "partial 16S ribosomal RNA". It matches the Rfam family "Bacterial small subunit ribosomal RNA", at positions 28 to 507 of the family's 1533-position model. The record is from RNAcentral.